Molecule: RNA transcript, 1431 nt
Organism: Camelus dromedarius (Arabian camel)
Lineage: Eukaryota; Metazoa; Chordata; Mammalia; Artiodactyla; Camelidae
Gene: ALKAL2
Gene name: ALK and LTK ligand 2
Exons: 6
Source: RefSeq, a predicted model, not a curated record
CUUGCGUUCCGGGUCUUCCCACACCCUGUCCCUCCAGCGAGCCGAGCUCCGGGAGCGCGUCGGAUCCGCCCAGCCCGGCCGACCGAGCGCACGAUGCGCGGGCCCGGGCGCCCCCUCCUCCUGGGGCUGCUGCUGGUGCUGGGGGCGGCGGGGCCCGGCCAGGGGGUCGCGGAGCCCCGGGAGGCGGCGGACAGGCAGACGCUGCUGCGGCUCAUCCUGGAGAUCGUCCAGGAGCUCAGGAAGUACCACUCGGCGGAGUCCAAGAGGCUGCAGCUCUCGGGCCGACAGGACUACACCCUGGGACGCAGGGAGGUCGCGGACUACGGGGCCGACCCCGAGGAGCAGAGAGUGGAAAUUGUUCCUCGAGAUCUAAGGAUGAAAGACAAGUUUCUAAAACAUCUUACAGGCCCUCUGUAUUUCAGCCCGAAGUGCAGCAAACACUUCCAUAGGCUUUACCACAACACCCGAGACUGCACCAUCCCCGCAUACUAUAAACGGUGCGCCCGGCUUCUCACUCGGCUGGCCGUCAGUCCACUGUGCGUGGAGGGGUAAGGUUCUUCAUGACCUCAGCUUCUUAAAGGCUGUCUGGAAGAAGUAGGCCUUCAGCGGGUCCGAGCACAGGGACCCUCCGCACCUGUGAUCUCACAGCAGAGCCCUCUGCUGCCUCUUUCUGAAGCUCACUAACUGCUGCUUCUCCAGCCAGAGGAGCUGUAGGCGCCCAGCCACCCUCCCACAGGGCAGGACGUCCUCACACACACACUCAUUAUCAGGACUUGCCCCUCAGCAGUGAGCAGAGGUGCAAAGGAGCGGCAGCCCAGGAACCACGAGAAGUGCCUUGGACACCAGCAGGAGGCAACCUGCUACCUUCAUGGACACCAGCAGGAGGCGACCUGCUACCUUCGUGAACACCCGUGAACAAGAGGAUUAUUUUUGCAGACUGACUCUCCCACAUUCCUUCACCGAGUUUUGUAUGUUGCUGACUGUGGACACACGUGCAGUAAAUUGGUGUACCUGACAGUAAAAGUCGCCACUCACCAUUUUAAAAAACAGGAACGCUUGAAGCGUCACGCGGUGAAAUGGCAGAGAGAGAUCUCAUUUUCCUGAUUAGAUGACAUCACAAGUAUUUCUUUAGAAACAUAAGCAGAAUCAGCAGAAUCCGAAACUAUAUUUUCAUAUAGCAUAUGGUAUUAUUUAAUAUUUUUUACUUUUACAAUUAAAUUCCCAGAGUGUUAUUUGGAACUGCAUGAAAAAUUAUAAAAAAAAAAACCAAACAAACGAACUUCAGUUGUGGAGACAUUGGAGAGUAAAUCUGUGAACAUAUCCAGGCUAAUUUCAUUUGUCCUUUGUGUAAUAAAUGUAAAAUAGUGUCCAGAUACUGUGCAAUAUGUAAAUACUGUGAAUAAACCCAGGUAAUAACGGUGCUUGUUAUAA